RNAcentral lists this ribosomal RNA (460 nucleotides) under uncultured bacterium. RNAcentral describes it as "partial 16S ribosomal RNA". It matches the Rfam family "Bacterial small subunit ribosomal RNA", at positions 338 to 795 of the family's 1533-position model. The record is from RNAcentral.
CCUACGGGAGGCAGCAGUGAGGAAUAUUGGUCAAUGGACGAGAGUCUGAACCAGCCAAGUAGCGUGAAGGAUGACUGCCCUAUGGGUUGUAAACUUCUUUUAUCUGGGAAUAAAAUGUUCCACGUGUGGGCUUUUGUAUGUACCAUAUGAAUAAGGAUCGGCUAACUCCGUGCCAGCAGCCGCGGUAAUACGGAGGAUCCGAGCGUUAUCCGGAUUUAUUGGGUUUAAAGGGAGCGUAGGUGGAUUGUUAAGUCAGUUGUGAAAGUUUGCGGCUCAACCGUAAAAUUGCAGUUGAAACUGGCAGUCUUGAGUACAGUAGAGGUGGGCGGAAUUCGUGGUGUAGCAGUGAAAUGCUUAGAUAUCACGAAGAACUCCGAUUGCGAAGGCAGCAAACUGGACUGCAACUGACACUGAGGCUCGAAAGUGUGGGUAUCAAACAGGAGUAGAGACCCUUGUAGUC